This 253-nucleotide ribosomal RNA is filed under the name uncultured bacterium. Its description in RNAcentral is "partial 16S ribosomal RNA". It matches the Rfam family "Bacterial small subunit ribosomal RNA", at positions 524 to 776 of the family's 1533-position model. The record is from RNAcentral.
CACGUAGGGGACGAGCGUUGUCCGGAUUCAUUGGGCGUAAAGCGCGCGUAGGCGGCCCGGCAAGUCGGAUGUGAAAACUUGGGGCUCAACCCCAGGCGUGCACCCGAUACUCCCGGGCUGGAGGCAGGUAGGGGAGAUCGGAAUUCCUGGUGUAGCGGUGAAAUGCGCAGAUAUCAGGAGGAACACCGGUGGCGAAGGCGGAUCUCUGGGCCUUGCCUGACGCUGAGGCGCGAAAGCUAGGGGAGCGAACAGG